This 107-nucleotide small nuclear RNA is filed under the name Vicugna pacos (alpaca). The record is from RNAcentral. Lineage: Eukaryota; Metazoa; Chordata; Mammalia; Artiodactyla; Camelidae.
GGGCUCGCUUCAGCAGCACACAUACUAAAAUUGGACCAAUACAGAGAAGAUUAGCAUGGCCCCUGCACCAGGAUGACACACAAAUUCAUGAAACAUUCCAUAUUUUU